CGGCAGCUAGCGUGGCCCUAGAGGCCAGUGAGCUAGAGCUCUCAGAGAGUGGUGAGGGCAGUGUGGCUGCAGCUGGCCUUGUCCCUGACUCUUGCUCUGGAUUAGGUCCUGGAUUGGUACUUUGCCUACACAGAGCCUGCUCAGGACUCACUAGCAGUCAGGCAGGCAGCCCUUGCUUUUGUGGAGGUGGACAAAGGGCUGGAAGCCUACAGGGAGGCUCUACAGGGCCAGAGCCUGGGGAGAUAGUCCAGUAGAGGCCUGUGUUGCACAUCUAGGCAGGGUGAGGUAGGGUGCAUCUCAGGGCCUUGCUGCUUCAUGCCAGAGCGAAGCACAUUCCUGGAACCCUCCAGAGGCUGGUGUGGUCAGCUGUGCAGAGGGUGGGUGUGAAGGACUGACUAGAGCAGAUCGGAAAGACUGACUUGAAAACUUCAGGGGCCUCUAGGACCACAAGUGAGUAACCCAGCAGCCAUGGGAAGUUGGGCCAGGUCUUAGAGGAAGGUCAGGUUGGACAUUGCUGGUGUGUGAGCGGUGUGGGAAGAGGUGACCAAGGACUAAAACAUAAGGGAGAACCAUUCAACAGGUAGGCAACAGAAGAUAGUGUAGAAAGAGCAGUGGCAGCAGGGAAGGAACACAAGAGAAUCUUUGAGUAUCACCAGGACCAGGAGUGGGUGGAAAGUGAGAACAGGCAGGGUACACGGCCUAACAAAGAUAUUUGAGAGGGUGGCAGAAGGUCUGGAUGGAGACUGCCCUGUAGAGCAGAGCCUGGGGGCAGGGGUGAGUGGACAGUUCCACUGAGGGAGGGCUGCAUCCCCUGUUGGCAGAGGAAUAAUGGGGCCUUGGCAGGUGAGGGGUAGCCUAGGAGCAGGGUUUGGCCCCACAGGUCUGAAUUCUGCUCUCCUGCUUAUGGCUGCUGCUGCCUCAGAGGUCAGAGGAGCCUGGGCAGGGCAGGGGUAUGUUUCUACUGCUGGCUUCUCACAGGCUCAGUCAGUUGGCUCAACUCUUCCAGAGGAUGAUGCUGACAGCCUGGCCUGGCAGCUGGAGGAGGAUGAGGAGUUUCAGGGUUGCCUAGGCCGGCGGAAGGUGAACAGGGUAAGGACCAUGUGCCCCAGUCCCUCCUGUCCUGGCAGCCGUACCCAUCCCUCACACCUCUGCCCCAAGUCAAGGCUACUCUGCCCACAGUGGAACCGUCGCAAUGAUAUGGGGGAGACCCUGCUGCACCGAGCCUGCAUUGAGGGCCAUUUGCGCCGUGUCCAGGACCUUGUGAGGCAGGUAAGCUAUCACGCCAACAGACUGCUUGACCCUAGCUCCAUUAGGGAGGAGCUAUGGGCAUAUUUAGAAUGGGCCCUAAGAUGCCAAGCAGAAUCUGGAUUGGCCUGGCCAGGAUGGGGACUGUUUUACAGACCAGAACCCUGGUGCCCUCCCUCCUACCUCAGGCCCUUCAGCUAGGCACUGUGCCUGCCCCAGGGCACCAAGUGACAUAGGCUAGAGGGUGUGCUGUGGCUGCUCAGCCAGCCUUAUUGGGCAGAAGUGGUACCCCCAUUGAGGAGACCUCAGGCAGUGGAGGAGAGGGCCAGAGCCAGGCUGCAAAGCACACAGGGCCAGGCUCCUUCCUGUCCUUGGUCACAGGGCCACCCCCUGAAUCCUCGGGACUACUGUGGCUGGACACCUCUACAUGAAGCCUGCAACUUUGGACACCUGGGUGAGCAGGGGAUGGGCAAGUCCUGGUGCACAACACGGGGUUUAGAGAGCGGGGAGGGGCUGAGCAGACAUUGGGAGCUGGGCUUAUGUCCCUACCUGCAGAGAUCGUCCGCUUCCUGCUGGACCAUGGGGCUGCAGUGGAUGAUCCAGGUGGCCAGGGGUGUGAGGGCAUUACCCCUCUACAUGACGCCCUUACCUGUGGCCACUUUGAGGUGGCUGAGCUGCUUAUUGAGCGAGGGGCAUCUGUCACCCUCCGAACCAGGAAGGUGAGCUGGAGUAGUGGUGGUGGGUGGGAGGGUGGGUGGGAGCUGCUCUGUUCCCUGCUCAUCUGGGUGCUACACAGGGCCAUAGCCCACUGGAGACACUGCAGCAGUGGGUGAAGUUGUACUGCAGGGACCUAGACCUUGAGACGCGACAGAAGGCAGCAGCCAUGGAGAGGAGGCUCCAGGCGGCUUCUUCAGGCUCAGGCAAGUGGGGCCUUCUUCACCUGCGGAAUUGCCCUGGGCUCUGGGCCCUGACUAACACUCCAGCAUAGGGGGCAGAGAGAGAGUCUGGUAACUGUCUCAUGAUGCAUUCUCCCUCCUACAGCCUCCCCAGCCUCCUGGACCAUCCCAAGUAACCACCUGUUUGAUCCUGAGACCUCUCCUCCCUCAAGCCCCUGCCCAGAACCCCCUUGGCACACUCCUAGGUCCUCAGAGGCCUCUCUAGCCUGCACCAGGGUUUCCCCACAGCAGGCUGCAUCAGUUGUGGCAAGGCCUCGAAGGAGCAGGCAUAGGUUGGCCAGCAGCAGCAGCUCAGAGGGGGAGGACAGUGCUGGGCCCCAAAUGCCAUCCCAGAAGAGGCCAAGGUGCUUUGCCCCAGCACAACGGGAUGAGGCCAGGACAGCUUGCCCUGCCAGCAUCAGGGAGGCGAGUACAGUGAGUGCUGGCCAGGCAGCCUAUCAGGCAGCCAUCCGAGGUGUGGGCAGUGCCCAGAGCCGCUGCCUCAGGCAGGGCCCUUGGGGCCCAGGUGAAGCCCCUACACCCCAGACAGCACUCAUUCCGGAGGAGGAAUACCUGGCUGGAGACUGGCUGGAAUUGGACACACCCCUGCCCCGCAGCCGCCCAUUCCGCCUGCCCCGCCCCCAGGGCAGUGGGGACAGCAACAGGCCCAGUACUGUAGGGCCAGACGAUGAGGAACACCCUGCCAGGCCCCGAACCCGGACCAGGCAGAGCCGCCUGACCUGUCUUGAGAGUUGCAGCACACUGGACAGAGCUGGAGGCAGCAGCUUGGCUGCAGAGCUCUCAGAGAAUCCCAAUGUGCUCAGGGUCCCUGGGGAAAGCCCUGCAACAGGCCAGCCCUCGGUGGGUGACAAGCUGGUAGCAGAGCUAACCCCCAGCUUGGGCAGGUGGAGAUGGAGGCCUCUGUCUUUCCUGACUGCCCUGUCCCCUGUUCCUCCUAUCAGGGUCUAGUACAGCCUCCUCCCAUCCGGAUUCGAGUUCAAGUUCAGGAUAACCUUUUCCUUGUCCCUGUCCCAC
Molecule: long non-coding RNA, 3215 nt
Filed under: Marmota monax (woodchuck)
Lineage: Eukaryota; Metazoa; Chordata; Mammalia; Rodentia; Sciuridae
Source: RNAcentral